UUUGAUCCUGGCUCAGAACGAACGCUGGCGGCAGGCCUAACACAUGCAAGUCGAGCGCACCCUUCGGGGCGAGCGGCGGACGGGUUAGUAACGCGUGGGAACAUACCCUUUUCUACGGAAUAGCCUCGGGAAACUGAGAGUAAUACCGUAUACGCCCUUCGGGGGAAAGAUUUAUCGGAGAAGGAUUGGCCCGCGUUAGAUUAGAUAGUUGGUGGGGUAAUGGCCUACCAAGUCUACGAUCUAUAGCUGGUUUUAGAGGAUGAUCAGCAACACUGGGACUGAGACACGGCCCAGACUCCUACGGGAGGCAGCAGUGGGGAAUCUUAGACAAUGGGCGCAAGCCUGAUCUAGCCAUGCCGCGUGUGUGAUGAAGGCCUUAGGGUCGUAAAGCACUUUCGCUAGGGAUGAUAAUGACAGUACCUAGUAAAGAAACCCCGGCUAACUCCGUGCCAGCAGCCGCGGUAAUA
RNAcentral lists this ribosomal RNA (467 nucleotides) under uncultured bacterium. RNAcentral's name for it is "bacterial SSU rRNA". It matches the Rfam family "Bacterial small subunit ribosomal RNA", at positions 12 to 525 of the family's 1533-position model. The record is from RNAcentral.